This is a long non-coding RNA of Melanotaenia boesemani (Boeseman's rainbowfish), 85 nucleotides long. RefSeq lists it as uncharacterized. Lineage: Eukaryota; Metazoa; Chordata; Actinopteri; Atheriniformes; Melanotaeniidae. The transcript is spliced from 3 exons. The record is from RefSeq and is a predicted model, not a curated record.
GAUUUAACUUAGCAAGCAGGUCGGAGCCUCCUAUUGUAUAAUUCCUGCAGGGUGAUCGUCUUCCAGCUGCAACAAGUUAUUUAAC